Non-coding RNA from Kogia breviceps (pygmy sperm whale), 2100 nucleotides. The record is from the annotation of a RefSeq genome assembly. Lineage: Eukaryota; Metazoa; Chordata; Mammalia; Artiodactyla; Physeteridae.
AUGGCAAAGCAGCUCAGGGACCUGAAGGCUGACCCACGGCUGCAGGUAGCUGGGGUCCAGUGGGUGGAAGGUGGAUCCGCCCACAGCAAGCCCACAGGGACUUUGGAGUGGGGCGGGGACACAGCCUCCGUCCACAGCCCAUCCGUCUACCUCUUGCACUCCUGUUGCACAAGUGCUACCAACGCCACCUCUGUGACGCUGGGCUGCCUGGUCACGGGCUACUUCCCGGCGCCAGUGACCAUUACCUGGGACACAGCAUCCCUGAACAGGAGUACGCUGACCAUCCCUGCCGUCCAAAACUUGAACUCCAGCCUCUACACCACCAGCAGCCAGGUGACAGUCUCGGGCGAGUGGUCCAAGCAGAAGUUCACCUGCAGCGUGGCUCACGCUGCGUCCAGCACCACCACCACCAAGGCCAUCACUGGGUGCACCAAGAGCUUCACCAACCCCUCCGUGAAGCUCUUUUACUCCUCCUGCGACCCCCGUGGUGACACCCAUACCACCAUCCAGCUCCUAUGCCGCAUCUCCGGCUACACCCCAGGCAGAAUCAAGGUCACCUGGUUGGUGGACGGGCACGAGGUCACGGACGCGUUCCCGCACACCGGCCCCGAAAGGGUGGAGGGCAAACUGGCCUCCACCUACAGCGAGCUCAACAUCACGCAGGGCCAGUGGGUGUCCCAAAUCACCUACACCUGCCGGGUCACCUAUUAUGGCUUCACCUAUGACAACCACGCCCGCAGAUGCACAGCCGAGUCCGAGCCCCGUGGCGUGAGCGCCUACCUGAGCCCACCCACGCCCCUCGACCUGUACGUCAACAAGUCACCCAAGAUCACCUGCCUGGUGGUGGACCUGGCCAGCGCAAAGGACAUGACACUGACCUGGUCCAGGGAGAACGAGAAUCUAACGUACUCAGACCCGCUCGUCGUCGAGACUCAGUUCAACGGGACGGUCACCGUCACGUCCACCCUGCCGGUGGACGUCAGUGACUGGAUUGAGGGCAAGACCUACUCCUGCAAAGUGAACCACCCACACCUACCCAAGGAGAUCCUGCGCUCCAUCUCCAAGAGUCCUGGCCAGCGUAUGAUUCCCGAGGUCUACGUGUUCCCGCCACCCAAGGAGGAGCUCCAGACCAAGGGCGAGGUCACCCUCACCUGCCUGAUCCAGAACUUCUUCCCCGCGGACAUCUCCGUGCGGUGGCUGCGGAACGGCGCCCUGAUGCAGGCGGACCAGCACACCAGCACGAGGCCCCACAAGGUCCGCAGCUCCAUUUCCGCCUACUUCAUCUACAGCCACCUGGUGGUCAAGCAGGCUGACUGGGGGCAGAAGAGCAAUUUCACCUGCCAAGUGGUCCACGAGGCACUGUCCGGCUCAAGGACCCUCGAGAGAUCGAUGUCCAUUGACCUUGAGCUGGCCCUGGAGGAGCCGUGCGCAGAGGAGGCCGAGAGCGACGGGCCGGAGGGGAUGUGGACCGGCCUCCUCACCUUCGCGGUGCUCUUCCUGCUCAGCGUGAGCUACGGCGCAGCCGUCACCCUCUGCAAGGUGAAGCGGGUCCUGGCUGCCGUCCCGCAGGAGCAGCCGCAGGCUUCCCGCAACUACACGAACGUGGCACAGCCCUGCCUUCUCCCUCCUCGUGGGAGUGUCCCCGAGGCUGCCAGCUCCACCCUGGGCCAGAGGAAGGAGCAGACCAGCCCCCAAGGGUCCAGAGUGCUCGUCAGUCUCAACGACAGUGUCCGCUCGGGCUCAGGCCCUCUCCCCAACCGCUGCGACCGCCAGGCCGUGCAAGAGCCCCCCUCCGUCCGUCUCAAGUCCGAGCCCUCCUUUCUGGCCCGCGUUCCGCGCCGCCCCAACGCUCACCCCGAGCCCCAUGCCUCCAGCUCCCUCGGGGCGGCUCCAGGGGACACUGGGGCUUCGGAACCCCGGAACGUGCAGAGCUCCAGGACCUCACGGGCCGGCAAGAGGAAGGGUGCUCAGGGCCAGCCAACCGCGAUGCAGGCGCCGCCGGCGCUCCUGAGAGCGGCGGGCGUGGAGUGGACCAGAGUCCGGCAGCCCGGGAGGAAGUGCCCCUCGUGGGCAGUGCUGUGGGUGUGCCAGGGUCCGUGA